CGGAGAUGGCGACCGGCGCACGGGUGAGUAACACGUAUCCAACCUGCCGAUAAUCGGGGAGUAGCCUUUCGAAAGAAAGAUUAAUACCCGAUGGUAUAAUCAGACCGCAUGGUUUGAUUAUUAAAGAAUUUCGGUUAUCGAUGGGGAUGCGUUCCAUUAGGCAGUUGGUGAGGUAACGGCUCACCAAACCUUCGAUGGAUAGGGGUUCUGAGAGGAAGGUCCCCCACAUUGGAACUGAGACACGGUCCAA
Molecule: ribosomal RNA, 250 nt
Filed under: uncultured bacterium
Lineage: Bacteria
Description: partial 16S ribosomal RNA
Rfam family: Bacterial small subunit ribosomal RNA
Source: RNAcentral